This 349-nucleotide unclassified non-coding RNA is filed under the name soil metagenome. RNAcentral's name for it is "partial contains 5.8S ribosomal RNA, internal transcribed spacer 2, and large subunit ribosomal RNA". The stretch from base 1 to 119 matches the Rfam family "5.8S ribosomal RNA", at positions 35 to 154 of the family's 154-position model. The record is from RNAcentral.
GAUGAAGAACGUAGCGGAAUGCGAUAAGUAAUGCGAAUUGCAGAAUCCGUGAGUCAUCGAAUCUUUGAACGCACAUUGCGCCCUCUGGUAUUCCGGAGGGCAUGCCUGUUCGAGCGUCAUUAUCACCCCUCAAGCCCGGCUUGUUGUUGGAUGCAGCGCUUAUCCCGCUCCUCCCAAAGAUAAUGACGGCGUCUGCGACGACUCCUGUACACUGAGCUUUCGGGCACGUACACGGCUAGAAGUCCAGACCCGGUCGCCGUCCCCCCCGCGGGGACACCCAUUACCACAAGGUUGACCUCGGAUCAGGUAGGAAUACCCGCUGAACUUAAGCAUAUCAAUAAGCGGAGGA